UGCUCAGGAUGAACGCUGGCGGCGUGCCUAAUACAUGCAAGUCGAGCGAAUGGAUUAAGAGCUUGCUCUUAUGAAGUUAGCGGCGGACGGGUGAGUAACACGUGGGUAACCUGCCCAUAAGACUGGGAUAACUCCGGGAAACCGGGGCUAAUACCGGAUAACAUUUUGCACCGCAUGGUGCGAAAUUCAAAGGCGGCUUCGGCUGUCACUUAUGGAUGGACCCGCGUCGCAUUAGCUAGUUGGUGAGGUAACGGCUCACCAAGGCAACGAUGCGUAGCCGACCUGAGAGGGUGAUCGGCCACACUGGGACUGAGACACGGCCCAGACUCCUACGGGAGGCAGCAGUAGGGAAUCUUCCGCAAUGGACGAAAGUCUGACGGAGCAACGCCGCGUGAGUGAUGAAGGCUUUCGGGUCGUAAAACUCUGUUGUUAGGGAAGAACAAGUGCUAGUUGAAUAAGCUGGCACCUUGACG
This 473-nucleotide ribosomal RNA is filed under the name Bacillus mycoides. RNAcentral describes it as "bacterial SSU rRNA". It matches the Rfam family "Bacterial small subunit ribosomal RNA", at positions 21 to 474 of the family's 1533-position model. The record is from RNAcentral. Lineage: Bacteria; Bacillati; Bacillota; Bacilli; Caryophanales; Bacillaceae.